Molecule: ribosomal RNA, 578 nt
Filed under: Lodderomyces parapsilosis
Lineage: Eukaryota; Fungi; Ascomycota; Pichiomycetes; Serinales; Debaryomycetaceae
Description: Candida parapsilosis partial large subunit ribosomal RNA
Rfam family: Eukaryotic large subunit ribosomal RNA
Source: RNAcentral
GAAAAGAAACCAACAGGGAUUGCCUUAGUAGCGGCGAGUGAAGCGGCAAAAGCUCAAAUUUGAAAUCUGGCACUUUCAGUGUCCGAGUUGUAAUUUGAAGAAGGUAUCUUUGGGUCUGGCUCUUGUCUAUGUUUCUUGGAACAGAACGUCACAGAGGGUGAGAAUCCCGUGCGAUGAGAUGUCCCAGACCUAUGUAAAGUUCCUUCGAAGAGUCGAGUUGUUUGGGAAUGCAGCUCUAAGUGGGUGGUAAAUUCCAUCUAAAGCUAAAUAUUGGCGAGAGACCGAUAGCGAACAAGUACAGUGAUGGAAAGAUGAAAAGAACUUUGAAAAGAGAGUGAAAAAGUACGUGAAAUUGUUGAAAGGGAAGGGCUUGAGAUCAGACUUGGUAUUUUGUAUGUUACUCUCUCGGGGGUGGCCUCUACAGUUUACCGGGCCAGCAUCAGUUUGAGCGGUAGGAUAAGUGCAAAGAAAUGUGGCACUGCUUCGGUAGUGUGUUAUAGUCUUUGUCGAUACUGCCAGCUUAGACUGAGGACUGCGGCUUCGGCCUAGGAUGUUGGCAUAAUGAUCUUAAGUCGCCC